GGCGGCGUAGCUCAGUUGGCAGAGCAAGGGAAUCAUAAUCCUUUGGUCGGGGGUUCGAGUCCCUCCGCCGCUA
Molecule: transfer RNA, 73 nt
Filed under: candidate division Zixibacteria bacterium RBG_16_48_11
Lineage: Bacteria; Pseudomonadati; Candidatus Zixiibacteriota
Also listed under: 1 other name
Description: tRNA-Met
Rfam family: tRNA
About the family: Transfer RNA (tRNA) molecules are approximately 80 nucleotides in length. Their secondary structure includes four short double-helical elements and three loops (D, anti-codon, and T loops). Further hydrogen bonds mediate the characteristic L-shaped molecular structure. tRNAs have two regions of fundamental functional importance: the anti-codon, which is responsible for specific mRNA codon recognition, and the 3' end, to which the tRNAs corresponding amino acid is attached (by aminoacyl-tRNA synthetases). tRNAs cope with the degeneracy of the genetic code in two manners: having more than one tRNA (with a specific anti-codon) for a particular amino acid; and 'wobble' base-pairing, i.e. permitting non-standard base-pairing at the 3rd anti-codon position.
Source: RNAcentral